CCUGCGGGUGGCAGCAGUGGGGAAUAUUGGACAAUGGGCGAAAGCCUGAUCCAGCCAUGCCGCGUGUGUGAAGAAGGCCUUCGGGUUGUAAAGCACUUUCAGUGGGGAAGAAAGCCUUGGGGCUAAUACCCUCGAGGAAGGACAUCACCCACAGAAGAAGCACCGGCUAACUCCGUGCCAGCAGCCGCGGUAAUACGGAGGGUGCGAGCGUUAAUCGGAAUUACUGGGCGUAAAGCGCGCGUAGGCGGUCUGAUAAGCCGGUUGUGAAAGCCCCGGGCUCAACCUGGGAACGGCAUCCGGAACUGUCAGGCUAGAGUGCAGGAGAGGAAGGUAGAAUUCCCGGUGUAGCGGUGAAAUGCGUAGAGAUCGGGAGGAAUACCAGUGGCGAAGGCGGCCUUCUGGACUGACACUGACGCUGAGGUGCGAAAGCGUGGGUAGCAAACAGGAUUAGAUACCCGAGUAGUC
This 465-nucleotide ribosomal RNA is filed under the name Vreelandella stevensii. Its description in RNAcentral is "partial 16S ribosomal RNA". It matches the Rfam family "Bacterial small subunit ribosomal RNA", at positions 338 to 795 of the family's 1533-position model. Lineage: Bacteria; Pseudomonadati; Pseudomonadota; Gammaproteobacteria; Oceanospirillales; Halomonadaceae. The record is from RNAcentral.